GGCAUCUAAGAGUGACAUGGAGCACGGGUGGCCAUGGGAGAGCUUGAAAAUAUAUGAGAAGGAAAUGAUCAAUGAAGAAAAUUUUCUCUUUGUGCCGAAACACCCUGUUUCAUGAAAUGCAACAUCGUAUCUCAUUUUUCUUCAUGAACUGCUCUAAUCUAACAGCUGGGCUGGAAGAGCACACAUUAUCAACAGGUUCAGUCAUAUAACACCCCAAACUUAGAAAUAACAAGUUGGAAGCUUCACAUCCUACAAAAUAAAUCAGUUACCCUAUCAAUUCUAUAAGCCUCGGAGUCUCAAAAUUGAAGGAAGGUAUUUUGAACAGCACUGUGCAAAAGCUGUUGCUGAGUUAGGUGUUCAGUUAAGCUGAACAGCAUGCCAUGUUCCUAGUUUCCUUUGCAGAAGCAUUUAUUUUACAUUUUAAAUAUGCA
This 431-nucleotide long non-coding RNA is filed under the name Mustela putorius furo (domestic ferret). RNAcentral's name for it is "lncRNA (ENSMPUG00000030125.1)". Lineage: Eukaryota; Metazoa; Chordata; Mammalia; Carnivora; Mustelidae. The record is from RNAcentral.